This 843-nucleotide ribosomal RNA is filed under the name uncultured bacterium. RNAcentral describes it as "bacterial SSU rRNA". It matches the Rfam family "Bacterial small subunit ribosomal RNA", at positions 85 to 915 of the family's 1533-position model. The record is from RNAcentral.
UCGCUGACGAGUGGCGGACGGGUGAGUAAUACUUAGGGAUCUGCCUUUGAGUGGGGGACAACCAUUGGAAACGAUGGCUAAUACCGCAUAACGUCUGUGGACUUUGUCGAUAGACCAAAGGGGGCUUUCGGGCUCUCGCUUGAAGAGGAACCUGAGCGAGAUUAGCUAGUUGGUGGGGUAAAGGCCUACCAAGGCGACGAUCUCUAGCUGUUCUGAGAGGAAGAUCAGCCACACUGGGACUGAGACACGGCCCAGACUCCUACGGGAGGCAGCAGUGGGGAAUAUUGCACAAUGGGGGAAACCCUGAUGCAGCCAUGCCGCGUGUGUGAAGAAGGCCUUCGGGUUGUAAAGCACUUUCAGACGUGAGGAAAGGGUAGUUGUUAAUACCAGCUAUCUGUGACGUUAGCGUCAGAAGAAGCACCGGCUAACUCCGUGCCAGCAGCCGCGGUAAUACGGAGGGUGCGAGCGUUAAUCGGAAUUACUGGGCGUAAAGCGCACGCAGGCGGUUUGUUAAGCUAGAAGUGAAAGCCCCGGGCUCAACCUGGGAAGGCCUUUUAGAACUGGCAAGCUAGAGUCUUGGAGAGGGGAGUGGAAUUCCAGGUGUAGCGGUGAAAUGCGUAGAUAUCUGGAGGAACAUCAGUGGCGAAGGCGGCUCCCUGGCCAAAGACUGACGCUCAUGUGCGAAAGUGUGGGUAGCGAACAGGAUUAGAUACCCUGGUAGUCCACACCGUAAACGCUGUCUACUAGCUGUGUGUGAUUUUAAAUCGUGCGUAGCGAAGCAAACGCGCUAAGUAGACCGCCUGGGGAGUACGGCCGCAAGGUUAAAACUCAAAUGAAUUGACG